GAUAACGGCGUCGAGCGGCGGACGGGUGAGUAAUGCCUAGGAAAUUGCCCUGAUGUGGGGGAUAACCAUUGGAAACGAUGGCUAAUACCGCAUGAUGCCUACGGGCCAAAGAGGGGGACCUUCGGGCCUCUCGCGUCAGGAUAUGCCUAGGUGGGAUUAGCUAGUUGGUGAGGUAAGGGCUCACCAAGGCGACGAUCCCUAGCUGGUCUGAGAGGAUGAUCAGCCACACUGGAACUGAGACACGGUCCAGACUCCUACGGGAGGCAGCAGUGGGGAAUAUUGCACAAUGGGCGCAAGCCUGAUGCAGCCAUGCCGCGUGUGUGAAGAAGGCCUUCGGGUUGUAAAGCACUUUCAGUCGUGAGGAAGGUGGUGUAGUUAAUAGCUGCAUUAUUUGACGUUAGCGACAGAAGAAGCACCGGCUAACUCCGUGCCAGCAGCCGCGGUAAUACGGAGGGUGCGAGCGUUAAUCGGAAUUACUGGGCGUAAAGCGCAUGCAGGUGGUUUGUUAAGUCAGAUGUGAAAGCCCGGGGCUCAACCUCGGAAUAGCAUUUGAAACUGGCAGACUAGAGUACUGUAGAGGGGGGUAGAAUUUCAGGUGUAGCGGUGAAAUGCGUAGAGAUCUGAAGGAAUACCGGUGGCGAAGGCGGCCCCCUGGACAGAUACUGACACUCAGAUGCGAAAGCGUGGGGAGCAAACAGGAUUAGAUACCCUGGUAGUCCACGCCGUAAACGAUGUCUACUUGGAGGUUGUGGCCUUGAGCCGUGGCUUUCGGAGCUAACGCGUUAAGUAGACCGCCUGGGGAGUACGGUCGCAAGAUUAAAACUCAAAUGAAUUGACGGGGGCCCGCACAAGCGGUGGAGCAUGUGGUUUAAUUCGAUGCAACGCGAAGAACCUUACCUACUCUUGACAUCCAGAGAACUUUCCAGAGAUGGAUUGGUGCCUUCGGGAACUCUGAGACAGGUGCUGCAUGGCUGUCGUCAGCUCGUGUUGUGAAAUGUUGGGUUAAGUCCCGCAACGAGCGCAACCCUUAUCCUUGUUUGCCAGCGAGUAAUGUCGGGAACUCCAGGGAGACUGCCGGUGAUAAACCGGAGGAAGGUGGGGACGACGUCAAGUCAUCAUGGCCCUUACGAGUAGGGCUACACACGUGCUACAAUGGCGCAUACAGAGGGCAGCCAACUUGCGAAAGUGAGCGAAUCCCAAAAAGUGCGUCGUAGUCCGGAUUGGAGUCUGCAACUCGACUCCAUGAAGUCGGAAUCGCUAGUAAUCGUGGAUCAGAAUGCCACGGUGAAUACGUUCCCGGGCCUUGUACACACCGCCCGUCACACCAUGGGAGUGGGCUGCAAAAGAAGUAGGUAG
This 1356-nucleotide ribosomal RNA is filed under the name Vibrio sp. 3685. Its description in RNAcentral is "bacterial SSU rRNA". It matches the Rfam family "Bacterial small subunit ribosomal RNA", at positions 78 to 1433 of the family's 1533-position model. The record is from RNAcentral. Lineage: Bacteria; Pseudomonadati; Pseudomonadota; Gammaproteobacteria; Vibrionales; Vibrionaceae.